RNAcentral lists this long non-coding RNA (789 nucleotides) under Phascolarctos cinereus (koala). RNAcentral describes it as "lncRNA (ENSPCIG00000035179.1)". The record is from RNAcentral. Lineage: Eukaryota; Metazoa; Chordata; Mammalia; Diprotodontia; Phascolarctidae.
CACAAUUAGAGUAUUUGAAACAGAGUGGAAGCAGAGAAGGGCUGAAGGUUCCGAAAUUAACAUUGUCCCAAGAGACAAUGAAAUACUGAAUCAAUUCCAAGAGAAAUGCGAUGCUAGGACUCACAACAGUCAGUCUGGGGAAAAGUGUUAUUCUGGUGCAUUGUGGGAAGAUGGCAGGCAGAGGGUUAAGACCCGCCAGAGCCUUGAUAUCCCCUUCUCCCCCCCCAUCAGAAAAAAAUCCACCUCAGUAAAGCUCGGAAAAAUUAGCAGAGGGAAUAAGGCAAAAGCAAAACAGAGAAUGAGCUGGAAACUCGUCCACUUUGGCCAAGCAGGCCUGCACACAAAGACAGCCAGAACCCCGCACAGAACGGAGGAGAGGAGACUCGUGCUGGAUGACCCGCCCGCCCUCCUACAUUGAUGCUCCCGGGCUCGGACCUUGGGCAACGAUGGCCAAGUCUGCGGAUAUAUCCGGAGGGGUUCUCCGGUGCCACCUGAGAAUCAAGUCCUGGAGAAGAGCUGGAGGCUGGAGGUGGGACAGCUAUGGAGCCUUGGCCUCUUACAGAACCAUCGAUGACAGGCUCUGCCCUAAGAGAGCAGGCAGUCUGGUCAUCUGCUUCUCAGCUCAGUAGCCCCUGGAACCAUGGCGACAUCUAUUCCCUUCCAAAAUGCAGGGUCAUCAACAGCAAAAACCCCAUCCAAGGUAAAAACUUGUACAGCAGCCAUUCCAGGCAUUGUAUACACCAGUAUGUAUGAGCAAUAGCUUCCUUCUAAAAAGAGCGCCAACAUGGC